Molecule: ribosomal RNA, 427 nt
Filed under: uncultured bacterium
Lineage: Bacteria
Description: bacterial SSU rRNA
Rfam family: Bacterial small subunit ribosomal RNA
Source: RNAcentral
UGGGGAAUUUUGCGCAAUGGGGGAAACCCUGACGCAGCAACGCCGCGUGAGUGAUGAAGGCUUUCGGGUCGUAAAGCUCUGUCUAGGGGAAGAAAUGAUAUUCGGUUAAUACCCGGAUUUCUUGACGGUACCUCUGAAGGAAGCACCGGCUAACUCCGUGCCAGCAGCCGCGGUAAUACGGAGGGUGCAAGCGUUGUUCGGAUUUAUUGGGCGUAACGCGCGUGUAGGCGGUUUGUUAAGUCUGAUGUGAAAGCCCUAGGCUCAACCUGGGAAGUGCAUUGGAAUCUGGCAGACUUGAAUACGGGAGAGGGUAGUGGAAUUCCUAGUGUAGGAGUGAAAUCCGUAGAUAUUAGGAGGAACACCGGUGGCGAAGGCGGCUACCUGGACCGAUAUUGACGCUGAGACGCGAAAGCGUGGGGAGCAAACA